AACCCAUGUUGCGGGCACUUUCGGAGCAUGUUUUUGAAUCUAUUCCAGGCUUCAUCAAACAAUUCAUUUUCUCCUUGACUAAAUACUGAUAUGUCAUGUCUCAGCUU
This 107-nucleotide small nucleolar RNA is filed under the name Olea europaea subsp. europaea. RNAcentral describes it as "Plant small nucleolar RNA R71". It matches the Rfam family "Plant small nucleolar RNA R71". Rfam says of the family: R71 is a member of the C/D box family of snoRNAs containing the C (UGAUGA) and D (CUGA) box motifs. Multiple nearly identical copies of this snoRNA have been identified in Arabidopsis, and it is thought to function as a 2'-O-ribose methylation guide for 18S ribosomal RNA. Lineage: Eukaryota; Viridiplantae; Streptophyta; Magnoliopsida; Lamiales; Oleaceae. The record is from Rfam by way of RNAcentral.